GGAAUAUUGGUCAAUGGCCGAGAGGCUGAACCAGCCAAGUAGCGUGAGGGAUGACUGCCCUAUGGGUUGUAAACCUCUUUUGUUUGGGAAUAAAGUCGGGGACGCGUCCCCGUUUGUAUGUACCUUACGAAUAAGCAUCGGCUAAUUCCGUGCCAGCAGCCGCGGUAAUACGGAAGAUGCGAGCGUUAUCCGGAUUUAUUGGGUUUAAAGGGAGCGUAGGCGGGAGCUUAAGUCUGCGGUUAAAUGUCGGUGCCCAACAUCGUCAUGACGUGGAAACUGGGUUUCUUGAAUGCGGUCAAGGGAGGCGGAACUCGCCAUGUAGCGGUGAAAUGCUUAGAUAUGGCGAAGAACCCCGAUUGCGAAGCCAGCCUCCUGGCCCGUGAUUGACGCUGAGGCUCGAAAGCGCGGGUAUCGAACA
RNAcentral lists this ribosomal RNA (418 nucleotides) under uncultured bacterium. Its description in RNAcentral is "bacterial SSU rRNA". It matches the Rfam family "Bacterial small subunit ribosomal RNA", at positions 358 to 774 of the family's 1533-position model. The record is from RNAcentral.